Molecule: long non-coding RNA, 2736 nt
Filed under: Salmo salar (Atlantic salmon)
Lineage: Eukaryota; Metazoa; Chordata; Actinopteri; Salmoniformes; Salmonidae
Description: lncRNA (ENSSSAG00000084745.1)
Source: RNAcentral
GAUUAAAUAUAUAAUUUGUAUGAAUAUAAAUAACAAGGAUGAAAUGCUAUGUUGCAUGGGUGAGUUUUGGUCAAAACUGACAGCACAAGCAGCAAAAUCAACGCAAUCUCUAUAGAAAACGCCACACCUGACCAUUACUGUAAUUUGAAUGCAGUUGGAAAUAGCAAAUAUUGGCAAUAUUUUCUAGCUGGAAGGGAUACGAUUGAAAAUAGUAUGAGUGGAUACAAAUGAUUGUCCUCUCUUUACCACUAUAGGCUGACCGUGUAUUUGUGAUACGUAAUGAGGAUAGUCCAUGUUGACCACAAUAUGGAAGGCUGGUGAUUUAGAUAAGCCUACUCAUGAUCUACUUCUAAUAUGAAGUCUAACGUGUCAGACAGAAAUAUGCAUUAUGCAUUUGAUAAUUGAUUGACGGACCACAUUAAGAUUAUAAUGGCUUUGUCUUCGGAAAUAUAGAUUUGAAAUACAGGCCUAUAUGAUUUUUUCUAUAUGCUAAAUGUUAACAGUUUCUUCUCUAUCAUCACAUUCCUCCAUCUUAGGUAUAUGAUACUGGAAUAUAUUUUACAUUUUAGUCAUUUAGCAGACGCUCUUAUCCAGAGUGACUUACAGGAGCAGUUAUGUUAACUGCCUUGCUCAAGGGCACAUCGCCAGAUUUUGCACCUAGGCGGCUCGGGGAUUCGAACCAGCGACUUUUCGGUUAGGCCUACUGGCCCAACGCUCUUAGCCGCUAUUGGCUACAUGCCACCACACGUAUUCAAUGGCUGUCCAUUUUGACAGCUAUCCGUGGCAAUUCAAAUGACAAAUAGGUAGCCUAAUUGCUUUUGUCUCCAAAAAAUGUGUAAAUUCAAAUAGCUCUCAUUUUUCUAAAUCUUGCUAAAGACCUUGUUCGGCCUGUAGCUCAACACUAAGUUGUAAAUAUGUAUUAUUAGUGUGAUUGGAAAUUGGAACCGCACCUUAUGCCUAUCUAGGUCACAUAUAGCUGCCAUUCCUCAGUGUACAUAUUGGUCCAAGUGCGUCACACUAUAGCCUACAAAUUCGCAAAAUGUGGUUUGGUUUUAAAGUGGCGAAAGCAAUAAUUGAUGUGCACUAAUCUUAGAAUGUUGUAGCCUAUGCAUGCAACCCCAUGUGUGUUUGUCAAGACAAACUACUUGUAGGUCCAUGACAGCAUGCAGCCUCUUCGGAGGGAAAAAUCUUUACGUGUGCCCGUCUGACCACUUCUAUUGGGUGACACAUCAGACGAGCAGUUUGGGAGCAAGGUUCACUUGUGGAGGAGGCAGAGUUACACGAGUAGGGAGUACAGCGUCUCCAACCGGCUCGCACAAUCAAUUGGGCUGGAAAAUUGGCGUCGACUUGAUUGAGAGCGCGUGCAUAGCCUGCCAGGAAGAUUUAAAUGGUGAUGUAAAAUAUAAGGGGUUGGAGAAAUAUGGCCCUGAUUCCCCUUGCUCAGGAGAGAGACCAAAUGGACAUGUCUGUCUGGGACUUUGCCUACUGCUGAACCAACAUGAGCUCAGAUGGAGCAUCUAUCUGUGUGACCCUUUACUGUUGUCUCUAGUGGAGCUCGAGACAUGGACUUCCAUCACCACCUGAACAUCAACAUGCACAACCGUCAAGAUACAGUAUGCUGAGAAGACAGAUACAGAACUCUGCUAUUUAUCAUCAGCAUGCAUACAUCUGUUCUAGAUACACAGAAACCACCAAAUAUACACUAACAUCCUUUGAAUCAAGUCAGUGUUUUGUAUCAUUGUGAUUUAAAUCUUGUUUGUUGUAAAACUGUUUACCAUAUGUCUACUCACUGGGAUGUAAAAGUACAACAUUAUUUAUUCUGAAUUGUAAAAGUCUGUAUUGGACCUGGCAUAUUGGUAUAUUGGAUUUUGAAUGAACCUGCCCUUAGAAUACAGCAUGACAUCAGAAGGGAACCCGCAGAGCACAUUGUCUUUAUCUGACAUUGACUGAAUUUAUAGAAAAAGUAAACCUCAAUGGGAAUAUUUUUCUACUUUCUCAAAUCACUGAAUUUCCUCAAUGAACGGAAUAAAGUAUAUUCAAGAAUAUCUUGUUUCUGACUUUUUUACAGUAUGUCUACAGUAGACCUACUGUAUAUACCUUUGACAUGAUUAGAUCCUCUGUGGGAUCAAUGUGGAAUGGGUGCUGAUUAAAAUAAAACAACAUGGCUGACAUGGCUGUAGCAGUUCCUGAUUGACCCUGAUAUUUCUCAGAAUGAAACAUACAGUUUGCAUACAGUACAAAUAAACGACAUACAUGUUACAUUUACCUUGUCAAUGUGUUACCAUAUUAUGUCAAAUUAGAUACAACUGUAAAAUCUAAAAUGGAAAAGAUACUAGCUAUGGUCACUACCUGAAGCACCUUGACAACCAGGGCAAGCUUUGUAGCCUUCUACACAUUUUGUGUUUGUGUUUGCUAGCAGAAUGCAUCUUCUACUUUUUUCCUUCUCUGUCACAAUGUUUGCCUUAAUUUUGUUGUUUUGUUCUACAUGAAGAAGGUUCAAAGUUUUCAUUCCCACUUCCUCUGUUACCUGCCUGUCACUUUCCUUCUCCUGACAAACAAUAUCUCUCCUCACCUGUCUCCCAACCCCCACUUCCUCUGUUUCCGGCCUGUCUCACUUCUUCUCCUGACAAAAUGUUUCUCUCCUCACUUUUCUCCCUUCCCUCUGUCUCACUCAUCAUAUAUCCUUCUCCUCCACUCUCUCUACUUUUUCUCUCUCCUUCUCAAUCCCAUUAAACC